AAGGAAUAUUGGUCAAUGGACGCAAGUCUGAACCAGCCAUGCCGCGUGAAGGAUGAAGGUCCUCUGGAUUGUAAACUUCUUUUAUAGGGGGCGAAAAAAGGUCUUUCUAGAUCACUUGACAGUACCCUAUGAAUAAGCACCGGCUAACUCCGUGCCAGCAGCCGCGGUAAUACGGAGGGUGCAAGCGUUAUCCGGAUUCACUGGGUUUAAAGGGUGCGUAGGCGGGUAGGUAAGUCAGAGGUGAAAUCCUGGAGCUUAACUCCAGAACUGCCUUUGAUACUAUCUAUCUUGAAUAUGGUGGAGGUAAGCGGAAUAUGUCAUGUAGCGGUGAAAUGCAUAGAUAUGACAUAGAACACCUAUUGCGAAGGCAGCUUACUACGCCUAUAUUGACGCUGAGGCACGAAAGCGUGGGGAUCAAACA
This 421-nucleotide ribosomal RNA is filed under the name uncultured Sediminibacterium sp. Its description in RNAcentral is "bacterial SSU rRNA". It matches the Rfam family "Bacterial small subunit ribosomal RNA", at positions 356 to 774 of the family's 1533-position model. Lineage: Bacteria; Pseudomonadati; Bacteroidota; Chitinophagia; Chitinophagales; Chitinophagaceae. The record is from RNAcentral.